Molecule: ribosomal RNA, 491 nt
Filed under: uncultured bacterium
Lineage: Bacteria
Description: partial 16S ribosomal RNA
Rfam family: Bacterial small subunit ribosomal RNA
Source: RNAcentral
AGUGAACGCUGGCGGUAGGCCUAACACAUGCAAGUCGAACGGCAGCACAGUAAGGGCUUGCUCUUACGGGUGGCGAGUGGCGGACGGGUGAGGAAUGCAUCGGAAUCUACUUUUUCGUGGGGGAUAACGUAGGGAAACUUACGCUAAUACCGCAUACGACCUACGGGUGAAAGCAGGGGAUCUUCGGACCUUGCGCGAUUGAAUGAGCCGAUGUCGGAUUAGCUAGUUGGCGGGGUAAAGGCCCACCAAGGCGACGAUCCGUAGCUGGUCUGAGAGGAUGAUCAGCCACACUGGAACUGAGACACGGUCCAGACUCCUACGGGAGGCAGCAGUGGGGAAUAUUGGACAAUGGGCGCAAGCCUGAUCCAGCCAUACCGCGUGGGUGAAGAAGGCCUUCGGGUUGUAAAGCCCUUUUGUUGGGAAAGAAAAGCAGCAGGUUAAUACCCCGCUGUUCUGACGGUACCCAAAGAAUAAGCACCGGCUAACUUCGU